CCGUCGUCUGAUAAGAGUGUGAUCUUCAUUUCUUUAAACAAACGAUGACACGCAGGGGGGUACCACCGUAGCUUCUAGUUGGUGAGUUUAUGACAAUCCUCCCCGCACUCGGGGAAGGUAUCGGUAAUGGAGAUGAACUAAUGGCUGUCUGAUAAUGUGAACGACCGCGGUGUGUGAGUGAGUGUGUGGUAAUGGAUCGGUAUGACAUCGGUGUGUGCCAUCAUUGUUUUUAUUUCAAACUUCCUUUUGCUGCUCCUUUUUAGAUGACACGACCACCGCUCCUCCACCAAGUGCGGUGUACUGCAUGAAUCAUCCAGUUCCGAAUUGUCGGAAUUGUCGGAGGGAUAGUGGUGGGAACGAACGAGUUUGGGGGGUACGCUCUGGUGUGCGGUGAUUGAUUUGACGCCACAUACAAUGCGAUAAACACGUCAUCGUUCGCUAGCGUGAAAUUCGCUCAAUACGAGAAAGAGAGAGAGAGAGAGAGUGAGAGAGUAACAUCAUCCGUAGCGUCGUCAUCAUCAUCCCGAUCACCACGUGCGAAGGGCAUCAGCAGCAACUUACACAGACGGUUUGAUGAUGAUGAUGAUGAUGAUGAUGAUUUGGGAAGGUAUUGAGAGAACGGUCGCGCACCCGCCUACUCGAUCUGACGGUCGCGGAUGUGUGGAGGUGAUCGCAAAUGUGUGUGUGUGUGUGCAGUAUGGAGAGUAGGUCAACAAAGAGCGUACGGAACAACGUCGUCUAGCGCGUCAGAGGUUUCCAAGCGGCAUGAUUUUCAACACGACUCAAGCAGGAUUGAGUUUGACAGUUCUUUGUUAUGUGUUGCUGCCCACAAGAUCAGAGCAGGCGUGGUAAGCCCAAGCUGAGGUGAAAAGAUGGCAUGAAGGUGUUUGUCAUUUAAACCAGGAUAACGGAUACGAUGACGGUACGGACUACAAAGCUGCCACCGUUUGCACGUUGCUCACCCCUGGCAGAGAGAACAGCUCGCGCAACGCCCUUUCUAACACAGCUGAUCCAGCCAAACACGGGAGGGCAAACGAUUCUAGCUCCACCGUUCACACCGCACUCCGAUCGACGGUAGUAGCAGAAGGGAACACCACCACUACACACACAUAGCGCCCUUUUUGUUACGUACGCGAGAGAUGAUGCUAUAUUGCGCGCCGCUUACUCAUUCACAGUUCCGCGAACGCGCACGAACACGAUCGCGCGACGUCAUCGAUCGGAGUUUCGCAAAUCCAACCGAGCGCGCUGCCGCUGUUGGUGCUGGCAGUGUUGGCCGUAACGCCUGAUCGAUGAGUCAGAUGGUGUGAAGAAGGAUAUCACAACUCACCUUGGCGGCGUGACGUUUGCUCGUCUUUUCGGAAGUUUUUUUUGGGUAGCACCUUUGGAAGCACGCAGGAACAGCAGGAAGACAGCAGCGCGGACGAACUCGAAUUGAACUCUGCACACGAUCGCGAAGGUGUUGUAUGUGUACGUGUCUGUUGGCACGCGCUCGCGCACCACCUCCGUUUGAAGAAGCACAACACACCGUAAACAAAGAACUUUACAUUCGCACACACACACAAACCACACACGAUCCAGAGAGUCGUCGCAGGUCCAAACACGCGGGUAAGUUCCCUUUCGCACAAACCCACUCACUGGCACUGGCACAACAGCAGGAGCGUGAACUUUCUUUUUGUGUUUUUUUUGCUUCGAACCAAACUGUGCGU
Anopheles merus is the source of this 1706-nucleotide long non-coding RNA. RefSeq lists it as uncharacterized. The record is from RefSeq and is a predicted model, not a curated record. The transcript has 4 exons. Lineage: Eukaryota; Metazoa; Arthropoda; Insecta; Diptera; Culicidae.